AUUAAAAUGGCAGAACAAUGCAUAGGAUUUAAGCUCCUUUUAUAUCUUUUACAGAUUUUUAAUA
RNAcentral lists this transfer RNA (64 nucleotides) under Varroa destructor (honeybee mite). RNAcentral describes it as "tRNA-Leu". The record is from RNAcentral. Lineage: Eukaryota; Metazoa; Arthropoda; Arachnida; Mesostigmata; Varroidae.